RNAcentral lists this non-coding RNA (246 nucleotides) under Aerolutibacter daejeonensis. RNAcentral also lists the same sequence under 1 other name. The record is from RNAcentral. Lineage: Bacteria; Pseudomonadati; Pseudomonadota; Gammaproteobacteria; Lysobacterales; Lysobacteraceae.
AGACUUUCGCUUGCCUGAGGUGACCGCCGGCCAAGCCGGUGGUUGAAACGGGAAUCCGGUGCGCCCGCCGUCUGGUCGAUGAUCGUGGCAAUUCCGGAGCUGCCCCCGCAACGGUAGGCGAGGUGACCCCAGGACGGGUCGGGACCGGCGAAUGCCACUGUGCCAAGGCACGGGAAGGCGCCGUCCCCGGAUGCAUGAGCGCACCCACCCGCGAGCCCGGAGACCGGCCACUGGCUUGACCCGACA